GGUUCCGUAGUGUAGUGGUUAUCCGUUUCCCUUUUUCGCGAAAAGGGCUCCCGGUUCGAUCCCGGACGGAACCA
Trichonephila inaurata madagascariensis is the source of this 74-nucleotide non-coding RNA. Lineage: Eukaryota; Metazoa; Arthropoda; Arachnida; Araneae; Nephilidae. The record is from the annotation of a GenBank genome assembly.